UACGAAGGGGGCGAGCGUUGUUCGGAAUUACUGGGCGUAAAGGGCGCGUAGGCGGCGACUCAAGUUAGAUGUGAAAGUCCUGGGCUUAACCUGGGGACUGCAUUUGAUACUGGGUUGCUUGAAUUCGGGAGAGGAUAGCGGAAUUCCCAGUGUAGAGGUGAAAUUCGUAGAUAUUGGGAAGAACACCGGUGGCGAAGGCAGGUCUCUGGGCCACUACUGACGCUGAGAAGCGAAAGCAUGGGGAGCGAACAGG
Molecule: ribosomal RNA, 253 nt
Filed under: uncultured bacterium
Lineage: Bacteria
Description: partial 16S ribosomal RNA
Rfam family: Bacterial small subunit ribosomal RNA
Source: RNAcentral